This 292-nucleotide ribosomal RNA is filed under the name uncultured prokaryote. RNAcentral's name for it is "partial 16S ribosomal RNA". It matches the Rfam family "Bacterial small subunit ribosomal RNA", at positions 505 to 796 of the family's 1533-position model. The record is from RNAcentral.
GUGCCAGCAGCCGCGGUAAUACGUAGGUGGCAAGCGUUGUCCGGAAUUAUUGGGCGUAAAGGGCUCGCAGGCGGUUCCUUAAGUCUGAUGUGAAAGCCCCCGGCUCAACCGGGGAGGGUCAUUGGAAACUGGGGAACUUGAGGACAGAAGAGGAGAGCGGAAUUCCACGUGUAGCGGUGAAAUGCGUAGAUAUGUGGAGGAACACCAGUGGCGAAGGCGGCUCUCUGGUCUGUAACUGACGCUGAGGCGCGAAAGCAUGGGUAGCGAACAGGAUUAGAUACCCCGGUAGUCC